UACGAACCGUGCGAACGUUGUUCGGAUUCACUGGGCUUAAAGGGCGCGUAGGCGGACUCGCAAGUCUGUGGUGAAAGCCCCCAGCUCAACUGGGGAAGUGCCGUGGAUACUGCAAGUCUGGAGGAGGGUAGGGGCAUCUGGAACGCUGGGUGGAGCGGUGAAAUGCGUUGAUAUCCAGCGGAACUCCGGUGGCGAAGGCGAGGUGCUGGACCCUUUCUGACGCUGAGUGCGCGAAAGCCAGGGGAGCAUACGGG
RNAcentral lists this ribosomal RNA (254 nucleotides) under uncultured bacterium. RNAcentral describes it as "partial 16S ribosomal RNA". It matches the Rfam family "Bacterial small subunit ribosomal RNA", at positions 524 to 776 of the family's 1533-position model. The record is from RNAcentral.